This 8203-nucleotide long non-coding RNA is filed under the name Zea mays. RNAcentral describes it as "long non-coding RNA (ZMAY_LNC004313)". The record is from RNAcentral. Lineage: Eukaryota; Viridiplantae; Streptophyta; Magnoliopsida; Poales; Poaceae.
GAAUCAUGGCACAGGAUCGAAUGUCACAACUUUACUAUAUAAUAGGAGUUCUAUACAAAAUAAAUAAUUACAUAUAAGGAGGCAACGGUCCAGCAAUCCAAAGUUGACUGGGAGACGACGGCCUAGAUCUCUCUCACGAACUCAUCGCAGCAUCCUCCAUGCGCCUCAUCCUGUGGUACCUGUUCUUGACCUGUGGGGGGGUGUGAGACAGCAAGAGUGAGCUCACAUAUGUUCAUCGCUCAACAAGUUGUGGGGAAUAAUGUGCAUGAACUCGCCAAAGGUGGGAGCUCACGUGAAGUGUAAGGCUUACCAAAGAGGAUUGUUAGAGCUGAGCAUUGCUUUUAAAGUUGGUCAAAAUUUUAUUAGCAAUUACUAUGUAUAAGUAAAUACCAACCCAAUUAAGUAGUAGAACAAAAGUAACAACAUCACCUGCGAUGCAAUGCAUAUGACAAAUUGAAUUUAGUUCCAUAAAUUAAUCAUCAGAGAGUCCUGAGCUGCUCAUGACCGUGAGCUCGGCUAGUAUACCAGUUUUACACUCUGCAGAGGUGGUACCCUUUACCCACAAGUCAUGUUACCCAUCUGCCAAGGGAUCGCGACUUCCCAUACACCUCUACCAAGGAGGCGAGGCAGGGUAACACUACGAGGCCUUUACAAAGUUCCACUAGCUUCAGAAAACCCGCUACAGUUUAUAGGAAGCUCCAAUGCAGGGUUCUUGCCUGACCGCCAUCGCAGCAAAAUCAACCAAGGACCUCCCUACACUGACCACUCCCCUACUGCCCUUGCCCCUUUCGGGUAAGGUGGUCCUCCACUAGCUUUCCUAAUUAAUCAGCCAAGGGCGUCCAUAAACCCUUGUGGUGGCACGUGUUUCUCAAGUUAAGCUCUAUGUUCCAAUUAACAUUAAUGAUCUUGACAUGAACAGUAAAUAACAACGGAUAACAAAAGUAUAAUCAUGAAUAAUGUGUAUCUCAAUGCCCAAAACCACAUAUAGCACUAGCAAGUACUACCCAAAAAGUUCAGUGGUAAACAAGGCAUAAAGAUAGACAAACUAGGGUAACCUAUUAGGUCCCAUCAAAAUUAACCUAUGCAGAUCAUUAUGAUUAAUUAGAACAUGAGUGGGUAAAAGUAGUGAUCAAGGGCACAACUUGCCUGGCACUUGAGAUCCAGGUAACAGGGUGAUUCCUCAGAUCCUCGUAACCGCACUGCUAGUCGUAGCAAUACAAGCAGACAUGGUAUAGACAAAAAUUAACAUCACACCAAUCAUAAGUACAUACUGCAUAAUAAUAGUCUACGCGUCACAACGAGAUCGCGGGCACGAGAACUACGAUCGGAUUUACUAGUAAGGAGUUAUGAUUUUAUAGAAGAUCUGCGUGAUUAAAAUAUUAAACUAUAUUAUAAUUUGGUUAAUAUAAAUCAUACGAGAGGUUAUUAUAUAAAUAAUUAUCUUAACUUAAAUAUAAGUUAUAAAUUGACCCUAGAUCAUAUUCUAGUAGAUUACAAUUAUAAGCAGUUUAACUAGACUAACUCAUAUAAGUUAAAUAAAGAUCUAAUUAUAAAAUAAAGAGACAUGGUAUAAUAAAUGUUGUUAUUGCAUAGUAACUAUUUAUACGAGACUAACGCAACUUGAACGAGUCAAAUCGGAUUUAAAACAGAGGAGUUAUGAUUUUCUGAAGAUUCUAUGUGUUUUGUACAAGAUUAAAUAAGAUAUAAUUUUUAAGGUGACUUUCAUGUCAAAACAGUGGUACUAGAUGAUAGACAAUAAUAUAAAAAAAUUAUAGGAAUUGGAACAGAUUAAUUUGGGCUUAAUAUGAAUUUUCUAUGAAUUAUCCGAGUUUUACAAUUAUUUUUAUACUAAAAAUCAAUUUAUAAAUCUAUUUUUCUGGUUUUAUUUAAUUCCUGGACUGUGCCUCAAUUUAUAUAGAAGGAAGGGGCCUCUGCGCCAAGAUUCUAAGACACAGCGCACAGACGCGAGGGAUGGCGGGUUGGUUCCUAGGAAGUUCAGGGACUCUUUGAUAAAUGUCCCUGGCCGAAAGGGUCGGCAGGUUACGGCCGACCGAUCGAUCACCGACUGACCAGAUUAGAUGUUGCUUUCAUUGAAUCGGUAAGCUAAUAAGGACUGUCUGAUUGAAGGUUGUCGGCCCAGAUUCAACCACACCGAGAUCGAGCCCGAGCCGCUCGAUCACCGAUAGGUGGCCUGCAUUUCAUCUGGCCAAACCGGUACACAGGUGAAAUCCUAACCGUUGAUCUAUUACCCAACGGCCCGAGGCCAUCUUCCACCUCGCCCUCCUAUCGCACCAUGUCUCGACUCUUGACGACGGCGACCCGCCCGCCAUGGGGCGCCAUGGCCAAAAUUCCAAGCCAUGCCAAGGUGAUCUAGCCCAUAAACUAAAUGGAUCAACGCGCAGAGGAGGAUGUGGUUCUUUACCGGAGAUGAGGGGGCCGAAUAGGCUGUCCACGCGAACAGGACGCUUCACAUGGAGCUCCCGCGCUGGUGAUCCGGCCACCGGUCCAAUCCCGCCAGGCGAGGCCAUGACAGACCUCUUGGUGGACCCAGCCAUCCCCAUGGCCCGCUCCCUAGGGAUCAACAUCGGCUAGCCGGAGUCCCCGGCGGCGGCUCCCUCCACGACCAACAUGCUUCUGCCGCCCAGCCCGAUGGUGGAUUUGGAUAGGUGUUUUCUGGAAUUGGGAGGGAAGGAGAAGCACCGGGCUCGCUUUUAUGGUACAGUAGGGGCGGUUUGGCUGGUCCGCAGCUUGCGCGCGGCCACGCCGGACACGGAAUUCCGUUGAAGAAGACUGCACAGUCGGCCGCACAGCUCACGCGAGGAGGAGUUUCUGACAGUCAGGGCCCACCUGCAAGUGGCGAAAGCGCGAGGUAUAGCAGAUGGGCGGUCGAUCGUGUAGUAUUUAUACAUCGGCAUCAUAGCCCGAGUACAUACGUCUGGCCGAACGGAUUCGUCUGUGCCCCCGAGAUGUUAGCAAUUGUUGGUCCUUAGAUGACGACCAUUUGUUGCAGCGACCACAAAAAUCACGGAAGGGAUCUCAACGGACUAGGAACGAAGAGCUUGAGCAUGCAAUUUUUACGGAGGUGGUUGCAAUGGAAUACGAUCGCGUGGAAGAUAAGCUAUGCGCAUGGGAGAGGCUGGACCACGGGUCCGAUCGAAGAGGAAGGGGCUGUAUAUCUAUUGCAUGAGUGGACGAGGAAAUUUCUAUGCACAUGACGGCCCUGGGCAACGACAGACGCGAGUCCUGGAGAAGAUGACCUGCUCGUUCUGUUCGUGCUCGUGAACAAGGGAGAGGAAGCUGUCAAGGUGUCCCAUGUGUCAGCACGGGUGAGCAAAGACGCAAGCGCAUGCAGAAGUACAUGAGGCUGCGAUACAAGCAUUGGUUAAUUUGCAUGCACAUUGGUUAAUUUGCAUGCUUAUGUCAUGGUGAUGAUAUGGUGACACAAGUUCUGGCAAAUGAAUAAAGAAAAGGAUUUUUGGAGGGGGAGUGUGGCCGACGGAAUGGGAUGAGGUGAUGGGCUGAGAAAUUUUGGCCCAAACACAAAUAUGUUCUUUCCUUUUUUUUAAUUUUCUAUUUCGAUUUUUUGGAUUACUAUAUUCAAAUAUGAUAUGAAUUUCAAGUCUAAGAUUAUAUUUUAAAUAAAACUAGAUACACAUAUUCAAAAACCAGCAUGAGGCAUAAUUAAAUUUUAUUUAUUUAAUUCUUUCACUACUUUAUCCAUUUAGAUACAUGCUUGUAUGCAAGAAAGAAAAAUAACUCAUAAACUCUAAUUUUAUUCUUCCAAAUUAAAAAAAUUACCUAAUUUUCUUAAACCUAUAAUUUAGGGUUUACAAAUCCUACCCCCCUUAAAAGAAUCUCGUCCCGAGAUUUGUAAGAAAUGAGAUAUAGAAAGUCAAAGGCUUAGGUUGCAGUUUAGCUUCGAUUUUUUUUCUAAGUGGCUUUAAGCACAAAUGUUUUCAUAAUAAUUUUUUUUAUAAAGAAAUUGAUUAGGAACACAUGGGUAUAUUUAUGUAUAUCCACUUUACUAUGUAGGGUAAAAAAUGUCUUUAAAGCAUAGAUAGGUCUGGGUAAGGAAAAGUGGGGUAAGGAAAGACUCCAUUCAAGAUUGUGGAUCUUGACUAAUCUUGGUGAUCUCACUUGAUCCUUGAAGACUUGAGUUGGUGCUCAUCCUUUCUUGAUGAAGUUGAUCAUCUUCUCCAGGCUUGUCUCAUUGAUUAGGAGUUAGUGUAUAUUAUCGGGCUGGGGAAUAUGGUUAAGAUAGACAUGGAUGAGAUAGACUACAUGAUGUAGGUCAGAAGUUUGUUUUUGGUGUCAGGUGGGGGUUGAUAGAUUAUGCAAUCCAUCAAGACUCUACUGGUUGGGUUAGAUCUUCUGCUCAUGGUUGAAUUGGUCUAAGGUGCUAAGUUAGGUUAACAUCUGGCUAGUAGGGUCCAAUCUCUUCUACCAGUAUCACUAAUCUGUUUGAGUAGACCACAUUAAAUUAUAUUCUGGUUGUUACACUAGUGUGGUAUAAAUGUGCUUAUUAGGGCAAGAUGAAUCCAUAAGGAUAAGGUACAAUCUUUUGAGGUCAGUUAGAUCUAUUGGAAUAAAAUAAAAUCUUUUCAAGAUAAGAUGAAUCUACUAAGGUAAUAGAGUAUCUUUUAAGAUAAGAUGGAUCUAUUAAGCUAGAUACAUUUUAAUUAGGAUAAGUUAGGAUCUUUUGGGAUGAGAUGGAUCUAUGAGUGUAGAAUAGAAUCUUUUUAGAUGAGAUGGAUAUUGUUAGGCUAGAUACUUUAAUGAGGGAUAAUCUAGUUUCUAUAGUUAGUUUUAUAAGCAUUAUGUAUAUGCAGAUGUAAUUGUGGACAUUACUCCACAACUCAUCACACUCAAUCAAAGAUCCAAAUUAGAUAAAUAUCAUAAGAACAAAACAUUCAAAUUCAUAGAUAUCUAUAAAAAUAGUUUUAUUUUUGUUCCUAAGAGUAGGUCUCCUAUUCCUAAAGGUCACUUUAAGCACAGGAUUUCAAAGUUUGAAAUCCAAGUUUGUCUUUAGAAGGAAAAAGAUAAGAGUAAUCAGAGUAAAGCGGAAAUAGAUGAGAAAAUAUUCAGAGUAGCAAGGUUAAGUAGACAAUGGUUGUCCAAAUCUAUCUAGGUUUCGUCCUACAGUCAACAUUCCUCUGAUACCACUUCUUUCACACCCGGAUUUCGGGGCACCAAGACCCGGGCGCGAACAUAAUCACCAGGUGUGCUGGGACCAAGUCUCACACAUAUGAUGAAUCACGACACAAGAUCGAAUGUUACAACUUUACUAUAUAAUAGGAGUUCUAUACAAAAUAAAUAAUUACAUAUAAGGAGGCAACGAUCCAGCAAUCCAAAGUUGACUGGGAGACGACGGCCUAGAUCUCUCUCACGAACUCAUCGCAGCAUCCUCCAUGCGCCUCAUCCUGCGGUACCUGUUCUUGACCUGUGGGGGGGGGUGAGACAGCAAGAGUGAGCUCACAUAUGUUCAUCGCUCAACAAGUUGUGGGGAAUAAUGUGCAUGAACUCGCCAAAGGUGGGAGCUCACGUGAAGUGUAAGGCUUACCAAAGAGGAUGGUUAGAGCUGAGCAUUGCUUUUAAAGUUGGUCAAAAUUUUAUUAGCAAUUACUAUGUAUAAGUAAAUACCAACCCAAUUAAAUAGUAGAACAAAAGUAACAACAUCACCUGCGAUGCAAUGCAUAUGACAAAUUGAAUUUAGUUCCAUAAAUUAAUCAUCAGAGAGUCCUGAGCUGCUCAUGACCGUGAGCUCGGCUAGUAUACCAGUUUAACACUCUGCAGAGGUGGUACCCUUUACCCACAAGUCAUGUUACCCAUCUGCCAAGGGAUCGCGACUUCCCAUACACCUCUACCAAGGAGGCGAGGUAGGGUGACACUACUAGGCCUUUACAAAGUUCCACUAGCUUCAGAAAACCCGCUACAGUUUAUAGGAAGCUCCAAUGUAGGGUUCUUGCCUGACCGCCAUCGCAGCAAAAUCAACCAAGGACCUCCCUACACUGACCACUCCCCUACUGCCCUUGCCCCUUUCGGGUAAGGUGGUCCUCCACUAGCUUUCCUAAUUAAUCAGCCAAGGGCGUCCAUAAACCCUUGUGGUGGCACGUGUUUCUCAAGUUAAGCUCUAUGUUCCAAUUAACAUUAAUGAUCUUGACAUGAACAGUAAAUAACAACGGAUAACAAAAGUAUAAUCAUGAAUAAUGUGUAUCUCAAUGCCCAAAACCACAUAUAGCACUAGCAAGUACUACCCAAAAAGUUCAGUGGUAAACAAGGCAUAAAGAUAGACAAACUAGGGUAACCUAUUAGGUCCCAUCAAAAUUAACCUAUGCAGAUCAUUAUGAUUAAUUAGAACAUGAGUGGGUAAAAGAAGUGAUCAAGGGCACAACUUGCCUGGCACUUGAGAUCCAGGUAACAGGGUGAUUCCUCAGAUCCUCGUAACCGCACUGCUAGUCGUAGCAAUACAAGCAGACAUGGUAUAGACAAAAAUUAACAUCACACCAAUCAUAAGUACAUACUGCAUAAUAAUAGUCUACGCGUCACAACGAGAUCGCGGGCUCGAGAACUACGAUCGGAUUUACUAGUAAGGAGUUAUGAUUUUAUAGAAGAUCUGCGUGAUUAAAAUAUUAAACUAUAUUAUAAUUUGGUUAAUAUAAAUCAUACGAGAGGUUAUUAUAUAAAUAAUUGUCUUAACUUAAAUAUAAGUUAUAAAUUGACCCUAGAUCAUAUUCUAGUAGAUUACAAUUAUAAGCAGUUUAACUAGACUAACUCAUAUAAGUUAAAUAAAGAUCUAAUUAUAAAAUAAAGAGACAUGGUAUAAUAAAUGUUGUUAUUGCAUAGUAACUAUUUAUACGAGACUAACGCAACUUGAACGAGUCAAAUCAGAUUUAAAACAGAGGAGUUAUGAUUUUCUGAAGAUUCUAUGUGUUUUGUACAAGAUUAAAUGGGAUAUAAUUUUUAAGGUGACUUUCAUGUCAAAACAGUGGUACUUGAUGAUAGACAAUAAUAUAAAAAAAUUAUAGGAAUUGGAACGGAUUAAUUUGGGCUUAAUAUGAAUUUUCUAUGAAUUACCCGAGUUUUACAAUUAUUUUUAUACUAAAAAUCAAUUUCUAAAUCUAUUUUUCUGGUUUUAUUUAAUUCCUGGACUGUGCCUCAAUUUAUAUAGAAGGAAGGGGCCUCUGCGCCAAGAUUCUAAGACACAGCGCACAGACGCGAGGGAUGGCGGGUUGGUUCCUAGGAAGUUCAGGGACUCUUUGAUAAAUGUCCCUGGCCGAAAGGGUCGGCAGGUUACGGCCGACCGAUCGAUCACCGACCGACCAGAUUAGAUGUUGCUUUCAUUGAAUCGGUAAGCUAAUAAGGACCGUCUGAUUGAAGGUUGUCGGCCCAGAUUCAACCACACCGAGAUCGAGCCCGAGCCGCUCGAUCACCGAUAGGUGGCCUGCAUUUCAUCUGGCCAAACCGUUACACAGGUGAAAUCCUAAACGUUGAUCUAUUACCCAACGGCACGAGGCCAUCUUCCACCUCGCCCUCCUAUCGCACCAUGUCUCGACUCUUGACGACGGCGACCCGCCCGCCAUGGGGCGCCAUGGCCAAAAUUCCAAGCCACGCCAAGGUGAUCUAGCCCAUAAACUAAAUGGAUCAACGCGCAGAGGAGGAUGUGGUUCUUUACCGGAGAUGAGGGGGCCGAAUAGGCUGUCCACACAAACAGGACGCUUCACAUGGAGCUCCCGCGCUGGUGAUCUGGCCACCGGUCCAAUCCCGCCAGGCGAGGCCGUGAGAGACCUCUUGGUGGACCCAGCCAUCCCCACGGCCCACUCCCUAGGGAUCAACAUCGGCUAGCCGGAGUCCCCGGCGGCGGCUCCCUCCACGACCAACAUGCUUCUGCCGCCUAGCCCGAUGGUGGAUUUGGAUAGGUGUUUUCUGGAAUUGGGAGGGAAGGAGAAGCACCGGGCUCGCUUUUAUGUACAGUAGGGGCGGUUUGGCUGGUCCGCAGCUUGCGCGCGGCCACGCCGGACAUGGAAUUCCGUUGAAGAAGACUGCACAGUCGGCCGCACAGCUCACGCGAGGAGGAGUUUCUGUCAGUCAGGGCCCACUUGCAAGUGGCGAAAGCGCGAGGUAUAGCAGAUGGGCGGUCGAUCGUGUAGUAUUUAUACAUCGGCAUCAUAGCCCGAGUACAUACGUCUGGCCGAACGGAUUCGUC